UUAUUGGCUCUUUUAAGAGCCAACACUCUCACCAUUUUAUUAGGUAU
Molecule: non-coding RNA, 47 nt
Organism: Operophtera brumata (winter moth)
Lineage: Eukaryota; Metazoa; Arthropoda; Insecta; Lepidoptera; Geometridae
Source: Rfam